Molecule: non-coding RNA, 30 nt
Filed under: Mus musculus (house mouse)
Lineage: Eukaryota; Metazoa; Chordata; Mammalia; Rodentia; Muridae
Source: RNAcentral
UGCUAGUGUUACGGCGGCAUCAGUGUGCGC